AAAUUGAAGAGUUUGAUCAUGGCUCAGAUUGAACGCUGGCGGCAGGCCUAACACAUGCAAGUCGAACGGUAACAGGAAACAGCUUGCUGUUUCGCUGACGAGUGGCGGACGGGUGAGUAAUGUCUGGGAAACUGCCUGAUGGAGGGGGAUAACUACUGGAAACGGUAGCUAAUACCGCAUAAUGUCGCAAGACCAAAGAGGGGGACCUUCGGGCCUCUUGCCAUCGGAUGUGCCCAGAUGGGAUUAGCUAGUAGGUGGGGUAACGGCUCACCUAGGCGACGAUCCCUAGCUGGUCUGAGAGGAUGACCAGCCACACUGGAACUGAGACACGGUCCAGACUCCUACGGGAGGCAGCAGUGGGGAAUAUUGCACAAUGGGCGCAAGCCUGAUGCAGCCAUGCCGCGUGUAUGAAGAAGGCCUUCGGGUUGUAAAGUACUUUCAGCGGGGAGGAAGGGAGUAAAGUUAAUACCUUUGCUCAUUGACGUUACCCGCAGAAGAAGCACCGGCUAACUCCGUGCCAGCAGCCGCGGUAAUACGGAGGGUGCAAGCGUUAAUCGGAAUUACUGGGCGUAAAGCGCACGCAGGCGGUUUGUUAAGUCAGAUGUGAAAUCCCCGGGCUCAACCUGGGAACUGCAUCUGAUACUGGCAAGCUUGAGUCUCGUAGAGGGGGUAGAAUUCCAGGUGUAGCGGUGAAAUGCGUAGAGAUCUGGAGGAAUACCGGUGGCGAAGGCGGCCCCCUGGACGAAGACUGACGCUCAGGUGCGAAAGCGUGGGGAGCAAACAGGAUUAGAUACCCUGGUAGUCCACGCCGUAAACGAUGUCGACUUGGAGGUUGUGCCCUUGAGGCGUGGCUUCCGGAGCUAACGCGUUAAGUCGACCGCCUGGGGAGUACGGCCGCAAGGUUAAAACUCAAAUGAAUUGACGGGGGCCCGCACAAGCGGUGGAGCAUGUGGUUUAAUUCGAUGCAACGCGAAGAACCUUACCUGGUCUUGACAUCCACAGAACUUUCCAGAGAUGGAUUGGUGCCUUCGGGAACUGUGAGACAGGUGCUGCAUGGCUGUCGUCAGCUCGUGUUGUGAAAUGUUGGGUUAAGUCCCGCAACGAGCGCAACCCUUAUCCUUUGUUGCCAGCGGUCCGGCCGGGAACUCAAAGGAGACUGCCAGUGAUAAACUGGAGGAAGGUGGGGAUGACGUCAAGUCAUCAUGGCCCUUACGACCAGGGCUACACACGUGCUACAAUGGCGCAUACAAAGAGAAGCGACCUCGCGAGAGCAAGCGGACCUCAUAAAGUGCGUCGUAGUCCGGAUUGGAGUCUGCAACUCGACUCCAUGAAGUCGGAAUCGCUAGUAAUCGUGGAUCAGAAUGCCACGGUGAAUACGUUCCCGGGCCUUGUACACACCGCCCGUCACACCAUGGGAGUGGGUUGCAAAAGAAGUAGGUAGCUUAACCUUCGGGAGGGCGCUUACCACUUUGUGAUUCAUGACUGGGGUGAAGUCGUAACAAGGUAACCGUAGGGGAACCUGCGGUUGGAUCACCUCCUUACCUUAAAGAAGC
This 1553-nucleotide ribosomal RNA is filed under the name Escherichia coli. RNAcentral describes it as "bacterial SSU rRNA". It matches the Rfam family "Bacterial small subunit ribosomal RNA". Lineage: Bacteria; Pseudomonadati; Pseudomonadota; Gammaproteobacteria; Enterobacterales; Enterobacteriaceae. The record is from RNAcentral.